GGUAAAAUGGCUGAGCUUAAGCACUGAACUGCAAAUUCAAAGACAGCAACUAGAUAUCUCUUUUUACCU
RNAcentral lists this transfer RNA (69 nucleotides) under Sarcophilus harrisii (Tasmanian devil). It matches the Rfam family "tRNA". From Rfam's summary of the family: Transfer RNA (tRNA) molecules are approximately 80 nucleotides in length. Their secondary structure includes four short double-helical elements and three loops (D, anti-codon, and T loops). The record is from Rfam by way of RNAcentral. Lineage: Eukaryota; Metazoa; Chordata; Mammalia; Dasyuromorphia; Dasyuridae.